CCUACGGGAGGCAGCAGUGGGGAAUAUUGGACAAUGGGGGGAACCCUGAUCCAGCCAUGCCGCGUGUGUGAAGAAGGCCCUCGGGUUGUAAAGCACUUUCAGUGAGGAAGAACGCCUGGUGGUUAAUACCCAUCAGGAAAGACAUCACUCACAGAAGAAGCACCGGCUAACUCCGUGCCAGCAGCCGCGGUAAUACGGAGGGUGCGAGCGUUAAUCGGAAUUACUGGGCGUAAAGCGCGCGUAGGUGGCUUGAUAAGCCGGUUGUGAAAGCCCCGGGCUCAACCUGGGAACGGCAUCCGAAACUGUCAAGCUAGAGUGCAGGAGAGGAAGGUAGAAUUCCCGGUGUAGCGGUGAAAUGCGUAGAGAUCGGGAGGAAUACCAGUGGCGAAGGCGGCCUUCUGGACUGACACUGACACUGAGGUGCGAAAGCGUGGGUAGCAAACAGGAUUAGAUACCCUGGUAGUC
This 465-nucleotide ribosomal RNA is filed under the name Vreelandella stevensii. Its description in RNAcentral is "partial 16S ribosomal RNA". It matches the Rfam family "Bacterial small subunit ribosomal RNA", at positions 338 to 795 of the family's 1533-position model. The record is from RNAcentral. Lineage: Bacteria; Pseudomonadati; Pseudomonadota; Gammaproteobacteria; Oceanospirillales; Halomonadaceae.